CCUGAUCCAGCAACGCCGCGUGAGGGAUGACGGCCUUCGGGUUGUAAACCUCUUUCAGCACAGACGAAGCCUUGUUCUUUUGGGUGGGGUGACGGUAUGUGCAGAAGAAGCACCGGCCAACUACGUGCCAGCAGCCGCGGUAAUACGUAGGGUGCGAGCGUUGUCCGGAAUUAUUGGGCGUAAAGGGCUCGUAGGCGGUUUGUCGCGUCGGGAGUGAAAACACCGGGCUUAACUCGGUGCUUGCUUUCGAUACGGGCAGACUAGAGGUAUGCAGGGGAGAACGGAAUUCCUGGUGUAGCGGUGAAAUGCGCAGAUAUCAGGAGGAACACCGGUGGCGAAGGCGGUUCUCUGGGCAUGACCUGACGCUGAGGAGCGAAAGUGUGGGGAGCGAACAGGAUUAGAUACCCUGGUAGUCCACACCGUAAACGUUGGGCGCUAGGUGUGGGAUCCAUUCCACGGGUUCCGUGCCGCAGCUAACGCAUUAAGCGCCCCGCCUGGGGAGUACGGCCGCAAGGCUA
This 518-nucleotide ribosomal RNA is filed under the name uncultured Actinomycetes bacterium. RNAcentral's name for it is "bacterial SSU rRNA". It matches the Rfam family "Bacterial small subunit ribosomal RNA", at positions 382 to 896 of the family's 1533-position model. The record is from RNAcentral. Lineage: Bacteria; Bacillati; Actinomycetota; Actinomycetes.